Molecule: ribosomal RNA, 443 nt
Filed under: Clostridia bacterium
Lineage: Bacteria; Bacillati; Bacillota; Clostridia
Description: partial 23S ribosomal RNA
Rfam family: Bacterial large subunit ribosomal RNA
Source: RNAcentral
GAUCAAGCUACGAAGAGCAUACAGGUGAAUGCCUUGGCACAUAGCGCCGAAGAAGGACGUGACAAGCUGCGAAAAGCUACGGGGAGAAGCAAAUAUUCCGUGAUCCGUAGAUAUCCGAAUGAGGGAACUCAACACGAGUAAUAUUGUGUUAUCGUUAUAUAAAUCCAUAGUAUAACGAAGGGAACCCGGGGAACUGAAACAUCUAAUUACCCGGAGGAAAAGAAAGUAAAACAACGAUUCCGAAAGUAGUGGCGAGCGAAAUCGGAGGAGCCCAAACCAGAGAUAGUAAUAUGUCUGGGGUGACGGACCCAAGAAGGAAAUAGAAAGGUAGUGGAAUAUGGCUGGAAAGCCAAACGAAAGAGGGUAAAAGUCCCGUACACGAAACCGUUCGAAAGCCGUGGGUAUCCAGAGUACGGCGGGGCACGAGGAAUCCUGCCGGAACA